This 538-nucleotide small RNA is filed under the name Pongo abelii (Sumatran orangutan). RNAcentral's name for it is "retained intron". The record is from RNAcentral. Lineage: Eukaryota; Metazoa; Chordata; Mammalia; Primates; Hominidae.
CUACAUACAUUUCCAUGUCUUUGGAAUUUGGAACCAUGUAUUAUUACCUAUUGAAAACAAGGAAAUAAAAUAUCAAAUCUGUGAACAUACAUUGUCAACUGUGAAGAUGCCAAAUUAAUGUUUUUAAUUUGAACAAUAAGAUUAAUUUUGAUGUUAAGAACUGUAAAAAUUUUCCUUAAUCAGCUUUCAGCUGCAACAGACCGAAUUUGUUCACUUCAAGAAGAACAGCAGCAGUUAAGAGAACAAAAUGAAUUAAUUCGAGAAAGAAGUGAAAAGAGUGUAGAGAUAACAAAACAGGAUACCAAAGUUGAGCUGGAGACUUACAAGCAAACUCGGCAAGGUCUGGAUGAAAUGUACAGUGAUGUGUGGAAGCAGCUAAAAGAGGAGAAGAAAGUCCGGUUGGAACUGGAAAAAGAACUGGAGUUACAAAUUGGAAUGAAAACUGAAAUGGAAAUUGCAAUGAAGUUACUGGAAAAGGACACCCACGAGAAGCAGGACACGCUAGUUGCCCUCCGCCAGCAGCUGGAAGAAGUCAAAG